This 282-nucleotide unclassified non-coding RNA is filed under the name soil metagenome. RNAcentral describes it as "partial contains 5.8S ribosomal RNA and internal transcribed spacer 2". The stretch from base 1 to 120 matches the Rfam family "5.8S ribosomal RNA", at positions 35 to 154 of the family's 154-position model. The record is from RNAcentral.
GAUGAAGAACGUAGCGAAAUGCGACAAGUAAUGUGAAUUGCAGAAUUCCGUGAAUCAUCGAAUCUUUGAACGCACAUUGCGCCCUCUGGUAUUCUGGAGGGCAUGCCUGUCCGAGCGUCAUUGCUAUACCUCAAGCCCGGCUUGUGUGAUGGACUCACUGUCUUAUUGGACAGUAGCCCCAAAGGCAGUGGCAGGGUCGCAGUCCGGUCUUUUAAAUGCGUAUGGGGCAUUGUCACCCGCUUGAAAGCUGGCCGACCCUUUAAGCCUAUCAUAAGCGGAGGA